AGCCAUGCAAGCCAGCGAAUUUUUAUUUGGAGCGGCGAACGGCUCAGUAGGACAGGUUUUAUCUGGUCACGAGAUUUGGGAUAACCGCGGGAAUCUGUGGCUAAUACGUUGUGAGUGAGAGCCUGGCCUAUCAGCUAGUAGGUACGGUAAGAGCGUACCUAGGCGAUUACGGGUAGCGAGGAAUCAGGGUUUGAUUCGGAGAGGGAGCCUGAGAGAUAGCUACUACGUCUAAGGAUGGCAGCAGGCGCGAAACUUACCCACUUGGAGGACCAGAGGUAGUGACGGGGCGUGAUUUAGAUGAGGGUUUUGUAGAAGCAAGCCUGAAAGCGACUGGAGGGCAAGUCUGGUGCCAGCAGCCGCGGUAAUUCCAGCUCCAGGAGCGUCUGUGUGUAUUGCUGCGGUUAAAGAGUGCGUAGUCGGGGCUAGUGAUAGACGGUAAAUGUUUGGGUUCCGCCCGAAAUUGUACGUUUACAUUAUGUCCUAGGGAGCGGAGCGGGGAAGUGUUAUUCGUGGGCGAGGGGUGGAAACCGUAGACCCCACGAGGAGCGACAGAAGCGAAAGCGGCUUCCCGGAACGUGUCCGACGAUCAAGCGCGUGAGCACGAGUAUCGAAGGCGAUUAGAGACCGUCGUAGUUCGUGCAGUAAACAAUGCCUACAGGAUUGGAGCGGUGAGCUCUGGUCUGAGGGAAACUGAGUGUAUGGGCCCCGGGGAUAGUACAGGCGCAAGCUCGAAACUUGAAGAAAUU
RNAcentral lists this ribosomal RNA (746 nucleotides) under Microsporidium sp. BTUB3. RNAcentral's name for it is "SSU rRNA". It matches the Rfam family "Microsporidia small subunit ribosomal RNA", at positions 46 to 788 of the family's 1311-position model. Lineage: Eukaryota; Fungi; Microsporidia. The record is from RNAcentral.